CUUCUUCUUCGUUUAAACCCUAAAAUCAAUACUAAAACAAUCUCCUUAGUUCGUUUUCUUGUCGAAGUCGAUCCAUCUUCUCCUUCGAUUCUUUGAUUUAUCGUCGCUGGAAAAAGCUUCUAUCUUCAGCUUUCUUCUCCUCGAUUUGUUGUUGUGAGAUUCGGUUUCGAUGAUCGGGAGAUACGUAACAGGGCGAUCAAAACGGUGCUGAGUUAGUGACGUGGUGGCGAGCGAGCGAGGCUUUUGGGUCCUAUUCUUCUGGUUCCUCAUGGCGGUGCUCUUGCUUGCUUCUUCUUCUUCCAUUCUAGGGGUUUAUUAAUUGGAUAAAACAUAUCGAUUCUUCCAAGAACGCUAUUGGACUAAAAGCUUACAGCGUGAGUUAACAAAGAGGAUAACAUAAGCACAAGUCGUCUGAUUUUGAGUUCUCUUUAACUAAAACAGUCCCAUGAAAGUUGCCUUUGUGGUAACAUAAAUCAAAGAGGGUGUAUGGGUUUCAGUUCCUGAAAUCAGACCAACGGAUCAUUCAAGAUAGAGCCUAUGUGUAACCCCAACUAUGUCUGUGAAGAAAAGGGGGAUUACUCUGAGUUACGUUUUGGCCAACUUAAGGAACUGUUCUGAAGCGCGUAGACUCUUUGC
This is a long non-coding RNA of Capsella rubella, 636 nucleotides long. RefSeq lists it as uncharacterized. The transcript has 3 exons. The record is from RefSeq and is a predicted model, not a curated record. Lineage: Eukaryota; Viridiplantae; Streptophyta; Magnoliopsida; Brassicales; Brassicaceae.